Long non-coding RNA from Cyclopterus lumpus (lumpfish), 2378 nucleotides. Lineage: Eukaryota; Metazoa; Chordata; Actinopteri; Perciformes; Cyclopteridae. The record is from Ensembl.
CCCAGAACCUACACAUCAAACCUUCUAUCCACUCACAAACGUCUUCAACCAAAUCUCUUUUUCCCUCUCAAACUGGUACAAGCCAUACCGUUCCCUUCUCCCAAGAACCUUCAUCUAUGUCCCGAACCUCUUCACCACCUCUUAUCCGCCUAUUCAAAAACCCUACCCUUCAGUCCUUUGUUAGGACCCAUACAACUCCACCCUUCAGUCAGGCCUACCCUCUAUCCCUCCAGGUCCUUCCCAUCAAACCCACGAGCAGUUUACCUCCGCCUGAAAAUAGCCCACCUGGACACAAAACUCGAUCAAGGCAAACCAGUCCACCUCAGCUUCAAACAGCUGCACCUCUGAGCAGCCCUCCUCAACCUCAAACUUUGAGCGGUUCGACCCAAGUCCUUCUCCAAACUACCCCAACUCAAACUCAAGGUCAAGCUAGCUAUCCCCAGACAGACCAGUCCAAAUCUGUCCCACCAGCUGAGGCGUUGAGUAUCUUCCCCCUACCAUGGUCCCAGCCCCAUUCCCAAACCGCAGCCCCCCAGACACAUACCUUUGUGUGGAAGCAAACUCGUCAAUCCAUUGAGGGUAAAGAGGUCAAAGAUUCUCCGUCUCAAGCGAAGCUCAAAACCAUGGGUCCGAUCUUACCGUCCAUUCCUUCAACCACCCCUUCUACUUCUCUUUCAGUGUCUACCCCCUUUUCUUCAACCCGUACUUUGCUCACCUCUUCCUUUGUUCACCCCACCACUCCUCUUCAUCCCUCCGGGGGUUCAGCCCUGAUAUCCGUAGGGACAUCUUUCACCCAUGGCACUUUGUCAUCUUCUCCCUCUUCCUCCUCCAUGAAGAACCAACCCAAAACAGCUCCAGCCCUUUCUGCUCUCCCAUCUCCUUCCCCGAUCUCCAUUCCUCCUCAUUUGCCCCCAUUCCACCCUUUCUCUACUUCCCCAUUGCCAUCCUCCUUAACCUCUUCUACCAUACCUUUGUCAAACUCCUCCAACUAUUCACCAUUAGCUCCCUUGAUUUCCCCGGUCCCAUUAUCUACUUCUAUCUCGUCUCCUUUUACCUCCUCCCAAUCCAUCACAGGUUCAACCGUUUCCUCACCCUCUUUUCCCACCAUCCCCUCCUCAAGUGCCUCAUCAACCUCUUCCAAUUCCUCUCCCCCUUCACCUCCUUCUUCUUCUUCCUCAUCCAUCUCUACAUCUAUCUCAACAUCCUCCCCUUUAAACUUGUCUGCCACCUCUUCUUCUACCUCCCCUCACCCAGAACCCUCUCCAGCUCCCCGUCGCUCUCUCUACAACCCUCUCACAUCUUCCACCUGCUCCCCUGUGCCUUCCAAACAACUCACCAUAGGUCAGAGUCUGCCAAUCCAGAACCGCAUUGCAUCAUCUAAUCCUCAACCCGACCUCAAUCUACCAACACCAAGAACAGUGGUUCUCCCAAACCUAGACCCAAACUUCGACCUAAAUCUUGGCCACAAGUUGAAACCAAACCUUCCCAAAACCGACACCAAACCCAAACUUCCCCCCAAUCCCCCCGGAACUCCAAACAAGGAAGGGAAGUAUCCAGACGUAAUCCCCAGACACAGCGCGUGGGAGCUGGGCAUGCUGCUGGGCUGCUCGGCGGGCUUGGGCAUGGCGCUGGUGGUCGGGGUGAGGUACAUGUGUCGCCAGGCCUGCGGCAGACAAACAGAGGUGACGCUGAACGACAGGGAGACGGAGUACGGCAGAGGAGAGAGGGGGAUGCUCCAUGUCCAGGAGUGUGGAGAUCUGGUCCGAGUCCGGAGAAUCAGGGAGAACAGUUUUGUUCUCCUGGCAGAGUACGAUGUGCUGGCCUCCCCUGGAGACUGAAGAUGGUUGAUCAAUGCUGCUGGAAGGGCAGACAUAAUCACACUGGGUGAGGUGCCCUCAUGUAACAUCAGAUUCAACUGGAGUAACGUACUAACUGAAAAAUACAAAUAAACAAUUUACCUUGAUUAAUGGGAGCUAGAAAACAUGAAAACAAUGGUCAAACAUGAGGGGAACGUGGGUUUUAUCUGACUUUUGGCCCAGUAGCGUUGGCGCUUAAUGAUGUUCGUCAGUCCGUCUGUCAUCGUGGUCCAGAACAAGACAUCUGGGUUGCCUGAGAGUUCGUCACCAUUUGUUUAGCGCCACAACCAAGUUAAAAUGUCUCCUGCAACACAUUUGUUAUGCCUGACAACAUAUAUAAAUGUCUCGGCUGAUCACGAAAUUAGCCCUGGAGGUUGAAUCAUAGUCGGUGACUAUUUAGGCUUUCGUCUAGCACCACCAUUCGUGCUCUCUGAGAGAUGAACCCUUUCAGAUUUAGACUCCAUGAGUUUUUGACGGAGGCCGAAAUAUCAACUUCGUAACAUAAUUUUAGCUUUUUCUCCG